UUGAGGGCAAGUCUGGUGCCAGCAGCCGCGGUAAUUCCAGCUCCAAUAGCGUAUAUUAAAGUUGUUGCAGUUAAAAGCUCGUAGUUGAAUUUCGGGACCAGUAGGUUGGUCGUGCCUACGGUACGUACUGGCUUCACUGGUUCCUCCCUUCUGACAAACCAUGAUGCCAUUAAUUUGGUGUUGUGGGGAAUCAGGACUGUUACUGUGAAAAAAUUAGAGUGUUUAAAGCAGGCUUAAGCUUGAAUACAUUAGCAUGGAAUAAUGAAUAGGACGUUUGAUCUUAUUUGUUGGUUUCUAAGAUCGACGUAAUGAUUAAUAGGGAUAGUUGGGGGCAUUAGUAUACAAUUGUCAGAGGUGAAAUUCUUGGAUUUAUUGAAGACUAACUACUGCGAAAGCAUUUGCCAAGGAUGUUUUCAUUAAUCAGGAACGAAAGUUAGGGGAUCGAAGACGAUCAGAUACCGUCGUAGUCUUAACCAUAAACUAUGCCGACUAGGGAUCGGACGAUGUUAUUUUUGACUCGUUCGGCGCCUUACGGGAAAC
This 540-nucleotide ribosomal RNA is filed under the name uncultured Glomus. Its description in RNAcentral is "SSU rRNA". It matches the Rfam family "Eukaryotic small subunit ribosomal RNA", at positions 549 to 1098 of the family's 1831-position model. The record is from RNAcentral. Lineage: Eukaryota; Fungi; Glomeromycota; Glomeromycetes; Glomerales; Glomeraceae.